UGGCUCAGUAGGCUGUGACCCUUGCCUCUAGAGAGAGAAUGUCUACAUGGAGGGUCACAGUGAGCCUCUGAGGCUAGCAAAAUCCACCAGGAAACACGGGACUCACGGAGACAAGGGCAGAGAUUUGUCACAACUGGUGUCAGGGUGGGAUCAUCGUUCACAGCAUGGCGGAAGAAGGAGGUUUAAAAAAAACAAAAGUGCACUGGGUUUUGGAUUUUGUUUUGUUUGUUUGCUUUGUACCACAAUGGAGGAGGUGGUAAGAGCUCUGGUACAAGCCACGGCAGCCCAGCAGGAGGCCACCCGGGUUCAGGCAAUGGCGCAACAGGAGUCUAUGUGGCUACAGCAGGAAACUAAUCAAUUAUUGAUGAGCCAGGUGACUCAAGAUCAUGCCCUCUUGUGAGAGUUUGUGGACCAGCUGAAGAUCCUCACCACCCAGGCCCAGGGGUCCGACAGGACACGAACCCUGAAGGCCACUGGUUGUUUGCCAAAGAUAACAUCAGAAGAUGACGUAGAGGCAUAUCUCCUCUCAUUCAAGAGGACUGCUCAGCAUGAGGCGUGGCCCCAGGAGCAGUGGGCCAGCAUUCUCGCCUCUUUUUUGUGCGGAGAGGCCCAGAAGGCCUACUUUGACUUGCCUGCCAUGGAUGCCACUGACUAUACCUGGCUGAAGGCAGAGAUCCUAGCACGAUCAGGGGUGAUGGCAGCAGUAUGGGCCCAGAGGUUCAAUGAAUGGAAAUACCAGGGGAACAAACCUCUGAGGUCCCAGCUAUUCGAUCUCCUACACCUCACACGGAAGUGGUUACAGCCUGAGGUGUGCAGCCCAGAGGAGAUUUUGGAGACCCUGGUCAUGGACCAUUACAUGCGAGGACUGCCACCAGAUCUUCGCAAAUGGAUAGGCCAGAAUGAUCCGUUCACCUAUGACGAGAUGAUCAUGCUGGUAGAAAGAUGCAUAACAGCCAGGGAAUUGACCUAACUACCCAAGGAAGGCCCCUUUUGAAGCAAGCACUCGACCCCAACCCUGAAAGGUUGGGCAGCCAAAUACCUGGGAAGUCCUAAGUGGAAGAAAGGGGGGCUGAAAACCAGCGGGGACCCUUGAAGGAAGGGAUUGGCCUGAGUGGGGGGCAACCCUGGGACUAUACCCCCUAACCUCUGUGAUAGGGGAAUGAUUAGAAGCAAUUAUAGAUGUUAUGCGUGUGGGGAGUGGGGACACAUAGCAGCACAGUGACCUAGCACCGAGGAGCCUAGGCAUUGUAACUUGGGGGAUUGGGAGGUCCCGUGCUCCCUUAUCCAACUGGCGGGCGUCCCAUCAGUCCUGCAUAACUACACCAGGCCAGUGAAGAUAAAUGGAGCAGAGACACAGUGCUUGUAGACUCUGGGAGUGCUCUCACCCUUAUAUUGGGUAAGCUGGUAAAAAGUAGCCAGCUGCUAUAAGCCAAACACAUAGCAGUGAUGUGCGUGCAUGGGGCCAUGAGCCAUUACUCCACCAUUCCGGUGGAGAUAGAGGUUCAGGGAAACCCCAUUGAGGUGACAGUGGGCGUAAUUCUUAAACUCCCAUAUCCUGUAGUCAUUGGGAGGGACUAUCCAGGGUUGAUCAUUUACUCCCCCCGGAGAGGCUGGAGGAGGAGGGGACCCUGAGGGCAGCGACUCGUCGCCGGGGGAAUGUCAACCCCUGAUGUUCCCUGAGAUUUCUCAGGAUCUGUUCUCAGCCCCCCUAAAAGACCCGGAAGACAAAAAAAAGAGAGGAAGGCUGCAAAAGCUUUGGGAACCCGGAUCCUGACCCAGGGUCAGAAGACUGCCCUAGUAGGCAGAGGCAGAUGGACACAAGCAGCCAUUAAAGAAACUACCACCACGGAAGGUGAGCCGGAGGCUGGUCCCAGCCGUGAUGGCGGCGAGCCGUUGGAAGAAGCAGAAGCUGGCCCCUGGGAGCUUGGGCAGGUUAGUCCCAGGAGAGAGACUUUCGGGCGGGACCAGGCAGAGGACCCUAGAUAUGAUAAUGCCAGGAAAGAGGUGGCCAAGAUAGAUGGGAUACCUAUAGAUGGGAAGGUCCAGGACCUUACUAUAUAGUGAAGAAAGAUCUCCUGUACCGUGUGGUGCAAAUGCAGGGGCAAGAGUUGCAACAACUUCUGGUGCCAUGAAAACAUCAAAAAGCCAUAUUUAGCCUAUGCAACCCGAUACCCAGAAGCCGUCCCCCUACGCAACCUGGCUUCCAAGACAAUAGCUAAGGAGCUAGUACAGAUCUUUGCCCGGGUUGGACUACCCAAGGAGAUAUUGACUGAUCAAGGGACGUCUUUUGUGUCCAAGUUGAUGAAAGAUCUCUGUUUGUUGCUCCACGUACAAGCCCUACGGACCUCUGUAUACCACCCGCAAACAGAUGGCCUAGUGGAAAGGUUCAAUAGGACCCUCAAGGCCAUGAUCAGGAAAGUGGUGAGCCAGGAUGGGAAAGAUUGGGAUACCCUAUUGCCUUACCUCAUGUUCGCCAUCUGGGAGGUUCCUCAAGCCUCCACAGGUUACUUCCGUUGGAACUACUAUACAGGUCCCACCCCUGGGGCAUAUUGGAUAUAGCCAGAGAAGCCUGGGAAGAGGAGCCAAAUCCCGGAAGGAACAUAGUCAAGCAUGUACUGCAGAUGAGGUAUUGGAUAGCCCGAGUUACGCCCAUUGUACGGGAACACUUGGAGAAAGCACAGGAGACCCAAUGAACCCAUUAUAACCACCAAGCAAAGCUUCAACGGUUCGAACCAGGGGAUCGAGUGAUGGUCCUGGUGUCCACGGCAGAAAGUAAACUGUUGGCUUAGUGGCAGGGACUCUACGAAGUGAUCAAAGCCAUGGGAGAGGUGAACUAUAAGGUGCGGCAGCCAGGCCGCAGGAAACUGGAGCAAAUUUACCACAUCAAUCUUCUAAAACCUUGGCACGAUCGAGAGGCAUGCUUAGUCACCCAGGAGACCUUUCCCCAGGAGGAUAAUUUACACGAGCAAGUGAGGAUAUCACCCGACUUGACGCCAAUCCAAAAGAUCGAGGCAGCUGACCUGAUUAAUCGCAACUGAGAUGAGCGGAGGGUCACAGUGAGCCUCUGAGGCUAGUGAAAUCCGCCAGGAAAUGCGGGACCCACAGAGACAAGGACAGAGAUUUGUCACAACUUAUAGUGAAUGGAACAUAGACAAUAAGGGGUGAUUUCCCUAUUGGCAAUCCUGUGACGCUGGAUUCUUAGUGGUACUUUGCCAUCAUCUAAGUAUCUUCUCCACUGUGACCUAGGAUACCUUGCAUAUUCCCUCUGUAAAACCUGCUCUCUGUAUUACUAAUUUUCCCCAUGAUUCCUCUGGGACAGAAGAGAAGUUGUUUCACUGAUUUCUGUCAGCUAACAUGAAGAACAUCUUGUGGUUUCUGAUUAUUUGGCUGAUAAGCUGAUGAAACCAGAGAAUCAUCACUGUUAGUUUACACACACACAGCUCUUGCUCCAAUUGUUGCUGUACCUGGGCAUUGUGGCAUCAGUUCUUGGUACCGCUCCCAAAAGCAGCCUUUACUACUCCUGAAGUCAGAUAUCUCCCCGGAAUGCAGCUUCUGGCUUCAGGGACCAUGCAACGUUGAGCUCAGCAAUCUCUGACCUGUCAAUUUGUCUUGAGUGCUGGGUCCUUUGACUUCUGCUAAAUGUCCACUGAUCCUGAGCUAUUCACUGUGUACAGUUUCUAAGAAUUGAUACUGCUUUGGGUACAGCGUGUCUGCCCAUAAUUCUGGCAUAAAAUCACCACCUCCUCAACUGGCUUCCUUCUUGAGACCCCUCCACCCCCCUGCACUGGGAGGAAGGACCGGAAGAGGAGCUCUCAGUGGCAGGACCAGUUGGAGGGUCAAAGAAAAGUCUACUAUGGGCUAUGCUUCCGAGGAGGUGCCCACAUAGGCUGCCCGGGACUGUGGCAGCAGUCAGAGCACCUGCCUCUCUAGCUGCAUAACUGCACAAUAAGAAGACUGCAUGGACUGGAGUCUCCAACUGAACAGCCACAGCUUACAGUUCCUCCAGGAUUCAUUCACAGUUCACUGGUGCCCAGUGAUGCAGAGUGAGAGCAGCUACUGUAGUUUGGUCACUUCAUGUUCCUAGUCAAUAAAAAGAGCUGGCUUCUGCUACCUGUCAGCCUCUUGCAUCUGCUGAUGUUUUGGUGUCUUAGCUCAGCUUUCCAUGCUAACUAGAACAUGGGGUGAAGGACAUGCAAGAGGUUUUCAUGCUGCUCCUGGAGGCAGACCCAGCAUGCAUAAGCUCCUGGCUGGUUCUGUCCUCACUUGGCCUGUGUGUAAUGAGUGAGAAUAUACAGUGGACACUUACCAUCUCCAUAAACUCAUAGACUUUAAGGUCAGAAGGGACCAUUAUGAUCUUCUAGUCUGACCUCCUGCACAAUGCAGGCCACAGAAUCUCACCCACCCACUCCUGUAACAAACCCCUGACCUAUG
Non-coding RNA from Chrysemys picta bellii (western painted turtle), 4431 nucleotides. Lineage: Eukaryota; Metazoa; Chordata; Testudines; Emydidae. The record is from RefSeq and is a predicted model, not a curated record.